GAUGAACGCUGGCGGCGUGCCUAAUACAUGCAAGUCGAGCGAACGGACGAGAAGCUUGUUUCUCUGAUGUUAGCGGCGGACGGGUGAGUAACACGUGGAUAACCUACCUAUUAGACUGGGAUAACUUCGGGAAACCGUAGCUAAUACCGGAUAAUAUUUUGAACCGCAUGGUUCAAAAGUGAAAGACGGUCUUGCUGUCACUUAUAGAUGGAUCCGCGCUGCAUUAGCUAGUUGGUAAGGUAACGGCUUACCAAGGCAACGAUGCAUAGCCGACCUGAGAGGGUGAUCGGCCACACUGGAACUGAGACACGGUCCAGACGCCUACGGGAGGCAGCAGUAGGGGAUCUGCCGCAAUGGGCGAAAGCCUGACGGAGCAACGCCGCGUGAGUGAUGAAGGUCUUCGGAUCGUAGAACUCUGUUAUUAGGGAAGAACAUAUGUGUAAGUAACUGUGCACAUCUUGACGGUACCUAAUCAGAAAGCCACGGCUAACUACGUG
This 497-nucleotide ribosomal RNA is filed under the name uncultured bacterium. Its description in RNAcentral is "partial 16S ribosomal RNA". It matches the Rfam family "Bacterial small subunit ribosomal RNA", at positions 28 to 507 of the family's 1533-position model. The record is from RNAcentral.